RNAcentral lists this small RNA (296 nucleotides) under Oryza sativa Japonica Group (Japanese rice). RNAcentral describes it as "sRNA Os02g0518550". Lineage: Eukaryota; Viridiplantae; Streptophyta; Magnoliopsida; Poales; Poaceae. The record is from RNAcentral.
GCACUUCCACUUCUUCUCCCCAUGCUUCCUGGAGUAGUGUUUCUUAAUGCCUGUGAGAUCGCCCAAAGCUCGGGUUGCAUCAUGAUGAGGGCAGGUAAUCUCAGGGCAGACAUACACCUUCUUCUUAGCUUCUGUGCUGCUUCUCUGCUUCAGCUUCCAUGGUAGGUUGUGGCCUCUCCUAUGAAGUUGGAGGUUCUGGUCUCUCUGGAAGCCCUUGUGGCAGACCUCGCAUAUAUACCUGUUUGUUGCCAGGAGUGUCUUAGGUGACAAAGCUACGACCUCAACAUCUGGAUCUG